Molecule: unclassified non-coding RNA, 329 nt
Filed under: soil metagenome
Description: partial contains 5.8S ribosomal RNA, internal transcribed spacer 2, and large subunit ribosomal RNA
Rfam family: 5.8S ribosomal RNA (bases 1-120)
Source: RNAcentral
GAUGAAGAACGUAGCGAAAUGCGAUAAGUAGUGUGAAUUGCAGAAUUCAGUGAAUCAUCGAAUCUUUGAACGCACAUUGCGCCCCUUGGUAUCCCGAGGGGCAUGCCUGUUCGAGCGUCAUUUCACCACUCAAGCCUGGCUUGGUGUUGGGCGACGUCCCCUUUAGGGACGCGCCUCGAAACGCUCGGCGGCGUGGCACCGGCUUUAAGCGUAGCAGAAUCUUUCGCUUUGGAAGUCGGGGCCCCGCCUGCCGGAAUACCUACUCGUAAGGUUGACCUCGGAUCAGGCAGGGAUACCCGCUGAACUUAAGCAUAUCAAUAAGCGGAGCA